This 10572-nucleotide long non-coding RNA is filed under the name Olea europaea (common olive). RNAcentral describes it as "long non-coding RNA (OEUR_LNC009189)". Lineage: Eukaryota; Viridiplantae; Streptophyta; Magnoliopsida; Lamiales; Oleaceae. The record is from RNAcentral.
AGGAGUUUAGUUCCAUUUCUUAGUUAAUUUAAGGAAACUUUUUGAAGCCCCACCUUCAAAGACAACACACAACAAUUUUGCGUGUGAACUGUAAUUAAAAUUAUUUUAUUUUUAUUUAUGAUCUAAUAAUUAGAGGUACAAAUCAUGAAUUGUUGCAGAUUUCCUGAUCCGCACAAAAUAAAUUUCUACUCUAACAAAUCAAGGGGGGUGCAUAUUUGUUCAUGUAAUUUCUUUUUCUAGUUUUCCCUUUUAUGAAUGCGAGUUAUUCUAGAAAUAACGAAUUCUUUGCGUUAUAUUCUGAAGAUGACAUCUCAUCAUCUUUUGCAUCCACGGAAAUUAUGACAAAAUUGUGUGAGCAAAUGCUACUUCAUCAUGUUCCAACAGCACCCUAGCAUCAGCGUAUGAAAGUAUUGAAUCUGGUAUUUUAUUAUGUUUUCUGUUUUAGCAGUUACAGUCAAUCAUUAUUUCACAACUCAACCUGAAUACUAAUCUCCACUAGCCUUGGUAGAUUUUUGUUUAGUAUUGAUCUGUGGUUAGGCCUUCAUACUGAAGCAAUUGUGCAUCUCGUAUUUGUUCCAUCUUUCCCCUAUGACAAUAUACGUGUGACAUGAUAUACUGCUGAGGAUAUUCUCCAAUUGAGUUCAAGAUGUGAUUCAUUUCCUGAGUCACCAUUGACAGAGGACAGUCACACCACUCUUUCAAGUUCUUAUGAUUCGCUUCCAUGCCCAGGUAUUUAGAUUUAUCCUUUUUCUGAUCUUUUAUCCUGUUCAUUCUCAUUAGAUAAACUUUUUCUAAGCCCGAAUAUAUUCUUGAAUCAUGCGCAUCUGUUGAAAGGAAAUCGAAAUGUUGCUGCAAUGAAUUAUGCAUCACUUGGUCAUAGAUAUGAAAACUCUGAUGGAUGCAGUUUUAUAUGUGUGGCUCAAACAAAACUUGUUUUGGCAUCAUGGGAGGAUGUUCUUGGAAAUUGUACUGCAGGCAUCAAAAUAAAACUUGUUUUGGCAUCAUGGGAUGAUGUUUUUGGAAAUUGUACUGCAGGCAUGAAAAUAUAAAUUUAAAUCCAUCCUUUUCAUUUCAGUUAGUUAAAAAUUAAUUAAUAAUUAAGUGGACUUUGAGUUUUGGACACGUGAAACUUACAACGGGAAUCUGGGUGUUUACUAUUAGUCCAAGUACAUUGGCAGGUUGUUAGUUAUUCUUCCCAUAUUCUUACCAGACAUACAUAACCUGCAUACCUCUAAAUGUUUCUUAAAAUUUCCAAACAUCCUUGAGCUAAACCUAUGAUGCCUUGCACAGGGCAACAGAUCAUUGCCCCUUUAUUUCUUUAAUAUUCAUCAUGCAAUUCUCAGUGUUGAAAUGUUAAAACUAUCAACCACAAGACUAGAAUCAAGCUAAUUAUCUACUUGGAUUGCAUGAAAAUGACAAUUACUUCCAAGUUUGUAUUCAUCUGCUUUUUUGAAAUUUUUGUUAUAGCAUCAUCGUAUUCACUCAUCCUUUUUCCAUAUGAUGCUAGGUUGCAUUUUUCCCCCAUCCAUUAUAUUCUUAAAUUGAUUUCGUUCUUCUGGUUUGCAUUGUAUUGAAGACAGUGCAUAAUUUGUGUGCUUCAACACGACGUAAAAUUUGAUCUUUGAUAUAGCUCACGAUUAAGAAAGUGAUUAGUUAGUGGGGAAAAAAAAAUCCCUGUUCCUUAAAAUUAGCUGAAUGUUGUCGAGUCAUUUUACCUUUUUUCAUUAACAGGAAAAUCCAUCCGAGCAAAUUAAACUUUAGAUGCUGAACUUGCAUUCAGAUAUUGGGAAGCUGAUGAAGCCACGUGUUAAGAAUGAUAUUGCUCCUCUUGGUACAGAAAACUACACUUUAUUACUGAAGAAGCCCCUGAUAAGUGGGUUAUGAAUGGAAGAAGGCUUGGAGAAGGUUGACAGCUUUUCCUGUUGGGGUGACAAUGGACGUGGAGAAGCUGAUGAAUUGCAUAUGAGAGUAUUAUGGGGGCUGAGGAUUAUGCUACUACGCCAGCUCAAAUACAAGAGGAUUUGGAUGCACUCAGUCCUCUCUCCCAUGACUAGCUAUUUAGCAUGAUUGAUUUUUCACCCAACUGGGCUUACUCAAACUUGGAGACUAAGGUAAUUAACGAACUAGUUUUAUCAACUAAACAAUAAUUGUCUGUACGCCUUGUUUCAGAGAGAGAGAGAGAGAUAAAAAAAAAAAAAAAAAAAAAGGAAUAUGCAUGAUAUUUUUGGUUUUUAAUCUACUUCCAGCUUUCUGUUUAUCCAUAAUCGUAUAGAACAAGUUAUUGGCAGUGCUGAUAUUUAUGGCUAAAUUUUCACCCAUGUAAAGAAUUUCGGUUGUUCAGUAUUGUGUUUUUUCUUGGCCAACUUUUCUCCUGUCUAAAGAUCAUGCAUUUAUGCCUAUUGUUGUCAUUAAUAUCUCAUCUUUUGUAACCACAAAGCAGGUCCUGAUAGCUGGAACAUUUCUCAAGAAUUAUUUUGUGCUUCUUGUCAUUAAUAUCAGUAUUGUGCUUGUUGAUAUCAUGAUUUGUUUUUCAUCCUGUACUACAUAGUGUGAGUAAGCCAGAAUAAUUUUUUUGUCUCAUGAUCGGUAAAUUUUGACAUUUCAUUUUUGGUUUACUUAAGUGGAUAUAGCGACCCAGUAAUUGUAGGGGUAUGUUUGCAAUUUAUUCUAACAUGGGUUGCUAGUUUGUGCAUUAAAAUUUGAACUUGAGCAUUUUUAUAAAGUUUAAACUGUAAUAAUUUUUUUUUUCAAAAAAAAAAAAAAUUAUUGUUAUAAGAAUCAGUAAUUUUAUUUUUUUUUAAGAUUUUAAUUCAAAUUAGAAAAGGAAAUAGGAAUGGAAAUUCGUCGCUAAUUAGUGGCGACUCAAUUUUGUCGGUAGUUAGCGGCGGAUGAAGUUGCUGCCAAUAUCAUCAUUAAAUCAAAUCCAUCAGUAAUUAUCAUUCGAUAAUUUGUUGCUAAUUUGUCAGCAAUUAGCAAUGGAUUUUCACACUCGUUUCUAAAUUGACGGCACCAUUUUCAAGACUGUUUUAGCGAUGGAAAAUAGCUGUCGGUAAAGCCUUUCACUAAUGAAAAUCAAGGCCUUAGUGACGGCAAAGCCACCUUUUUUGGUAAUACACAGAAGUCAAGUACAUCACACGUGCUUUGCACUAGUUGUAAUAAGCAAAGUCGAUAUGUUUUCUAGAUUUAAUUAUCAAUACCUUGUACCAAUAUUGUACAAAUUGGAUCAAAAUGAAUCAAGCAUUUUAAAGAAGUCAAGUGCAUCACACGUGCUCUGCACUAGUUGUAAUAAGCAAAGUCGACAAGUUUUCUAAAUUUAAUUACCAAUAUUGUGCAAAUUGGAUCAAAAUGAAUCAAGCAUUUUAAAGAAGUCAAGUGCAUCACACGUGCUCUACACUAGUUGUAAUAAGCAAAGUCGACAAGUUUUCUAAUUUUAAUUAGGGAAAAUUGCAGUCGAGGUACCAAACCUUUCGUUUAUUAGCAGACUUUGCCCAAACUUUUAGUUUGUGCCAACCACAUUCUCAAACCUUUCAAAAAUAUGCACCGAAAGUUCAAAUGGAUGGAAACCGUCCACUUGACCAUUAGUCGACCAAUAAAACUGAAUUUUGACCAAUUUUUGACCAACUUAAAAGGGUAGAAAGGUAAAUUUGCUAUUUAAUUCUAUAAUAAAACAAAUAAACUAAUAUACCAAAUAAAAAUAAUAGAAACUACUAUUCAUCUUCUUCUUCCCCACACCCCACCCCGACAAUGUUUUGGAAUACAAUCCACAAACAUAUCCUUAGUCAGCCAUUUGGACAAGUUAUCACGCCACCUAGAAAUUAUAUGAUUCCAAACCAAUAUAUGAUUAACCUGCUCUAUUCAGCCCACAUCCUUAACCACCUCAGCAUCUACUUCUUCGCCAAUAAGUGAAUCGCCUGGAAACCUACAGUCAAGGCUAUUGAGGCCUCCUCUUUGGCUCUAUCAUUAAUCACAAUUAUGUCAUCUAACACAAUAUUUACAGUUUUCUUGACCAAGUUGCUAGAAAUUGAACUCGGGCUAGGGUUCAUUUCAAAUGAAUUAUGCAAAUUUUCUAGCUUGAUUUUUUUAGUUUGGGCUGAAUUUAAAUUUAACGAGUUCCCAAAGCUACUAGUAUUUAACAAAGAGAUCAAUUUGUGUACCUGGUAUGUAGACAUUGUCGGAGUACGGGGUCUUUCGUGCCUUCUUUUUCUGGGUAUUGGUUGUGAAAUGAAGUCAUUUUGGACUAAAUAGGGAUGCAAAUCUGGGCGAUUUUUGUUGGAUUUGGAAUCGAAAUUAGGGUCUGAGGAAGGUAAAUGAACGGUUAAUUGCACGGGAUUGCCGGACUCGUUAGUGACACGAGAAUGAGGGGUUUGAUUUGAUGAAUCCAUUUGAGUGUUUUUGCUGAGAGGGCUUCACUUUACAAAAAAAAUUGGCUUUCUUGCGAGUUGCUAAGGAGAGGUGGAAAUAGUGGUAAACAUCAGUUUUUCGAAGCAAGAAGCCCAGUUCUUCCAGCAUUAUUUAUUGGGAAAAUUGUAGCAGCAGUGGGGUGGGGUGGUGAGGGGAAGAAGAAGAUGAAUAGCAAUUUCUUUUAUUUUUAUUUGGUAUAUUAGUUUAUUUGUUUUAUUAUAGAAUUAAAUAGCAAAUUUACCUUUCUACCCUUUUAAGUUGGUCAAAAAUUGGUCAAAAUUCAAUUUGAUUGGUCAACUAACUGUCAGACGGACGGUUUCCAUCCAUUUGAACCCCCGGUGCAUAUUUUUGAAAGGUUUGAAACUGUGGGUGGCACAAACUAAAGGUUUGGGCAAAGUCUGUUAAUAAAUGAAAUGUUUUGUACCUCGGCUGCAAUUUUUCCAUUUUAAUUAUCAAUACCUUAUACCAAUAUUGUACAAAUUGGAUCAAAAUGAAUCAAGCAUUUUAAUUUACGUGGAAAAAUCAAGAUAAUUGUCUUUUGCACAGGUAUUCGUGUGUGUGUGUGUGUGUGUGUAAUCUUGAACUGUGUACCCUCAAUAAUUUAGUAAUUAUUUCGAGUGAUCGACUCAAACAUAUUUUUAUGUUGGAUAAUUUAAUUUUAACCAUAUAUGAUGUGUUCAAUGACUAAAAAGGAGAUAAAACUUCUUUUUUUUCAUUUAUUAGGAAACUUUUAAGGCUCCAUUUUUCUUUUGAUAUAACUAGUAUUGAAUUGAAUACUGAACUUAAAAAUAAUUAUCAAAUAUUAUGAAUUUUACGAAGUCAAAAAAAGAAAAAGAAGCUGAAUUCAAAUGUUUUAUAUUAUAAAAUUAUUUAUUAAAAAAUGCAUUAGUUGUAACACUAUCAAGCACUUAUCGAAGACAAGAAUUUAAGCUCAUCUCAAAUUCAAACCAUUAAAAAUUGAUUUUAGAGAAAUUAGAUAUUCUUCUCAUUAAAACGAUCUCAAAAUAUGUAAAUAUGCUUCUAUUUUGAUUUGUUGAUGGUACAGAAUUUUUUAUUUUUUUUUGAACAUUUACAAAAAAAAUUUGUUUCAUAAGAUUAUUUUAACUGAAUAUUGAUGAAUUAAGAAUUUCAUGAAAUAUUUGUCUAUUAAAUACACGAUAAAGUGAAAGCAUGUGUAUCACACGUGCUUGAAGGCUGACAAGUUAUUGUCUUUAACUUUCAUUACCUUUUACUAGUAUUGAAAAGACUGGAUCAAAACAAAACAAGCAUUUUAGUUUACAUGGAAAAAUCAAGAUAAAUGUCAUGUGCACUAAUCUUAGUGUACAGAAAACAAGAAAUAUUGUAAUCUUUGGCUACGUACCCUCAAAAAUUAUAUAAUUAUUUCUAGCAAUUCAUUUAUAUAUAUGAUGUAUUCAAUAAAUGAAAAGGAUAUAAAAAUUUAAAUCAUCUAUUUGAAACUUUUAAUGGCUCAAUUUUUCUUUUGUUCUAACUCAUAUAGAAUUAAAUGCCGAACAAAUUCAAAAUAUUUAUUAAAUAUUUUGAAUUUUACAAAGUCGUGAUAGUAAAAACUGAAUUCAAAUAUAUUAUGCUAUAAAAUUAUUUAUUAAAUGCAAUAGUUGCAACCCUAUCAAGCGCUUAGUGAACAUGAGAAUUCAAGCUCAUCUCAAAUUCAAACUAUUAAAAAAUUGAUUUUUGAGAAAACAGAUAUUCUUCUUAUGAACCCAUCUCAAAAUAUGUAAGUAUGCUUCUAUUUUAAUUUGUUGAUGGUACAUAAUUUUAUUUUAUUUUUUUUUGGAAAAUUUACAUAAAAGUAUCGAUUCAAUCUUGUUUGAUUAUUCUUUGGAUCCCUAUUUAUUUCAUCUUGUAUUAUAUUUUCUCGAAAUAAAUUUCUUCCAUCUUUUCACAUAUUUAUUCUAAAUAUUCAUGAAUUAAAAAUUUCAUGAAUUCUUCAACUCUAUUAAAUACACAAUAACAUAAGAAGAACGUGCAUCCCAUGCGCUUUACCCUAGAUGUAAUAAGAAAAGUUUUCAAGUUAUUACCUUUAAUUUUCAUCACCUUUUUACAACUAUUUUCAAAAAUUGGAUCAAAAUGAGCCAGGCAUUUUUAUCUACAUCGAAAAUUCAAGAUAAAUGUCUUGUUCACUAGUCUUCAAGUAUAGAUAACCAAAGAAAAAAAAAUUGUAAUUUUCAACUGUGCACCUCAGUAAUUAUUUCGAGUGGUCCAUUCAUAGAUCGACUUUUUUUUCAGGUCAUUUUGAAAACCCAAGAAUAGCUUACCAAGACGGGGACAAAUUGGUUAUUAAAAACGUUUUUAAAAAAUAAUUCUAAAUUUAAACAAAUUUAAAAGCAAAUAAGUCAAUCAAACAAAUAUACACAAAUACGAAAGCAAUAAGUAAAAGGGAAGAGAGUGUGCAAAUGAUGUAAUUGUGAAGGUUUGAUCACAACCAAUGAUCUACGUCCUCUACCCAAGCUCUCCGUCACGAGCAAGACACUUUUUACUAUAUUGAUUGACUUAUAGUGCAAUUCAACUUUUUACAACGCUUCCGAUGACUUACAACCAAUGAACACAAAUCCUUUUACAAUAUAAGGCUUUACGGGACCUUUAUAUGACCCAAAAAUUCAAAGAGUAAUUGAAUUUACGAUUUGAAAUUCUCUCUUAAUAAAUGAUAUAAUCAACAUUAAGCACCAAGAGAGAUAUAGGCUAAGACUUUUAUGAAUAGUAGUGAAUGAAGAAUGAUUUCCAAAAGUUAAUUCAAUCAAAAAAAUUUCAAAAUAAAUGAUUUGAUUUGAUGAAGAUAAACGAAGAGUGUAAUAAUUUUGUUCAAAAAUAUCUCACUUUAAUGCUCAUGAAAAUCUUGCAAGAGAAUGAAAAAUGAGGUGGUAUUUAUAGCAGUUAAAACGUUAAAAGCUCUUACCAACCGGACGGCUCAACUAGACGUCCGCUUUUGAACUGUACACUGAACUAGUCAUUGUACGUUAGAAUUUUAGAAUGGUUAAAAAAUUGACUGUUGGACGAACCAGAUGCCCACUAGGUCAAUGGACGUUCGCCUGAAUAGCAUUUUUCCUAGAGUUUUUUUCUUUGAUUGUUUUAAUAAAUAUAGACUUUUGAAGGACAUUUCACUUAAUUUUUCAAGGUAAGUGAUUGAAGUUCUUGCUUUUGAAACAAUAAUUUUUAUGUAAGUAUGUUCAUGAAAUAAUUUUCUGGUGCAAAAAAUUAUCUUGAGCUUUUGAUGGUUCAUUGCUAAAGAUUAAAGCAUUUUACCUUUACAUAUGAAUUCAAAAAUUCUAAGUCCGAUAUCUUCGAUGUUUUAACGUUAAAGUGCUCAUCUUGUAAAUUUGGUAUCCAUGCUCAGUUUUCAUCUCGAUUUUCAUUGGGCAUCAAUUUGCGAGUCUUUUGAAAGCAACCUUUUUUAUCUUCAGUUGUUCAACUUUGCAACAAUAGCUAUAACAGCUUGAAUUCAAAUGUUAGAGAUAAAAACAUUUUGUUUGUUAUAAUCAAAACAUAGAAUCAACUAUAGGUCAACAAUUUCUCCCUUUUUGAUUAUGACAAACAAAAAAUGAUUUGCAAUAAUUUUAUAAGCGAAGAAACGCUUUAGAUAUUCACAUAUAGUUCAGGUAUUCCUCAUAUCUCUUAUAAAUGUAUUCCUCCUAUCUUGUUUAUCUUAUAUACAUCGAUCAAUGCAUAUCAUCUCAUAUUAUUUUCCCUCUUGGCAUAAGCAAAAAAAUAAUGACGUGGGGAUCUAAGUGCACAAGCAUAGAUCAAAAAUCAACCAUUGGCACAAGAGUUUUCAUUGGAGAUGCCACAUAAUAUCCGAUGAUUGAAUUCAAGUUAUAAAAGGAUAAUAAAAUAUCUAGAAUAUAGAAACGCACAAAAAAAAUAAAAAUCAAAAGCUAAUACUAUGGCUUAGGAGGUGGUGGCAGAAGAAAGUGGCAUAGAAGUGAGUAUGGAAGGUAUUUUGCUGAGCCUACAUCGUCGCCUAUUGCAUUUGAAUGGCAUCCUGUUGUGCUUGACUUGUGGUCUAUUGAACCUGAAACUGGUGAAGCAGUCCACCAAGGCCUUCAACAGAUAAAGUAAGAGAAUUAAUGUGGCCGUUUAGAACAAUGCAGUGACCUUUAUUAAAUGUGAAGCCAAUUGUUGGCCAUGCUACCUAACUCACAUGAGCAAACAAAACAAAAACCAAAAAACAAAAAAAAAAUAGUUUUUUUCUUGAAAUUUUUCAAAUGGUUGCUUGGGUGGAUUAUGUAGUUUAAAAUCUCACGUGUAUCCUCUAACCUUACAAUCAGCUCAUCCUUCUCCAUGUAAGGUUCGACUUCUUUGCUAAAAAAGGUCGACGAGAUUGUUGGCAUAUUUUGGUCAUCUCUGAGGUCCAUAAUAAUGAAGUGCAUCAAGAAUAUCAGCUUCCCACCUCGAUCAGCACAUCAACCUUGCCCUAUGGGUAUCUAAUGCUCCUGUCUACCCGCUGUAGUGUCACAUUCGAUCAUUUGACUUCUCCCACUCCUAGUUUCCUGAAAAUAGACAAAGACACUAAAUUUACCUUUGCACCUAUAUCACAUAACACAUUAAAUGAAAUCCUUUGCCUAUUGAAGUAGGUCAAGUGAAAGUCCCUGAAUCCUAAAGUUUUGGUGGCAAUUUAUUUUGUAGCCUUUCAAUGUUCUCGCCGAUCAAUGCCACUUCUUAGUCCUUGUUUAACUUUGACUUCGACAAUAUGACUUUUGAUUUUUGACUAGUAAAAUUUGGGUUGUAACAUUUUAUUUCCUUAACUUUUUGCUAUUUUAGCUUGAACUUGCACACGGAGGGAAAGGAUCAUCUUAUGAUCGGUAUAGUAGUUAUAGCAGUGGAAGGAGUCAUGGUGAACUUUCAUGGAGUCUGACUAUAGAGGUAGGUUCUAUUGUAGUCGUGGUGGACUUUCAAGGAGUUCUAACUAUAGAGGUAGGUUCUAUUUUACUCUCUCUCUCUCUCUCUCUCUCUCUCUCUGUUACUCUUUACUUCUUAUGUUGACAGUGACUCUUGAAAAUAUUAUCUUUUUUUAAUGCCAAUACAUUUGUAGUUUUGGUGAUUGGACUGCCUUCUUCUGCUUUAUGGAAAAACUUAAGGUAACAGAAUUCAAUCUUCUUUAUUAUGUAGUGUUAAAAGGGAGACUUGUGCCUUGCUGCAGGUGUCUUUUAAUAUAUUGUAGCUACUAGGACAACAUGCAUUGAGCCCCGGAUGUUUGCUUUUCUCAAGUUUACUGCGAUCGAUAUGGUAAAUCUUUUUUUCUUUAAAACAUUCAUAUUUUAUUGUUAUUAGGUAGAAUUUCUUGUUGCAUUAAAUUAAUACAAAUUAUUAUUUUAUUAGCUUGGAGGCCUCUUGUGCAUGGGUAGAGAGGUGAGGGGUAGCAUAUUCUUCUAAGUAAACAAAGAAAAUGAACUGGCUAAGCUGCUACGGAAAUUAUGCAUCUACGCCAAGUAUGAAUUCAUAGAUGCUCCUCCCCCACACCAACAAUACCUAAAGAAAAGUUAUGCUUGCCCAUGCUACUUAAUUUCUCAUUUUAGGAUACUGUCAUAAAAAUAGAUCACUAACCCAAUGUCAUAAACAUAAAGGUUGUUUAGUAAAUCACUUAUUCAGUAUUACGAGCUUAUAGGUUGUAUAUAAAUCAUAGUUAUGUUCUUCUGAAUUUUUUUAGUGGGAAAAAAAAAAUCCCUGUUCCUUAAAAUUAGCUGAAUGUUGUGGAGUCAUUUUACCUCUUUUCAUUAACAGGAAAAUCCAUCCGAGCAAAUUAAACUUUAGAUGCUGAACUUGCAUUCAGAUAUUGGGAAGCUGAUGAAGCCACGUGUUAAGAAUGAUAUUGCUCCUCUUGGUACAGAAAACUACACUUUAUUACAGAAGAAGCCCCUGAUAAGUGGGUUAUGAAUGGAAGAAGGCUUGGAGAAGGUUGACAGCUUUUCCUGUUGGGUUGACAAUGAACGUGGAGAAGCUGAUGAAUUGCAUAUGAGGGUAUUAUGGGGGCUGAGGAUUAUGCUAGUAUGCCAGCCCAAAUACAAGAGGAUUUGGAUGCACUCAGUCCUCUCUCCCAUGACUAGCUAUUUAGCAUGAUUGAUUUUUCACCCAACUGGGCUUACUCAAACCUGGAGACUAAGGUAAUUAACGAACUAGUUUUAUCAACUAAACAAUAAUUGUCUGUACGCCUUGUUU